CAAGGAAUUUUCCCCAAUGGGCAGAAGCCUGAGGGAGCAACGCCGCGUGCGGGACGACGGCCUUCGGGUUGUAAACCGCUUCUGGUGGGGACGAUGCUGACGGUACCCGCCGAAUAAGCCUCGGCUAACUCUGUGCCAGCAGCCGCGGUACGACAGAGGAGGCCAGCGUUGUCCGGACUGACUGGGCGUAAAGCGCGCGCAGGCGGAUGUGGGCGUCGGUGCUGAAAGGCCCCCGCUUAACGGGGGACGGCGUGCCGAUACGCCAUAUCUGGAGGGCGGGCGAGGGUGGUGGAAUUGCCGGUGUAGUGGUGAAAUGCGUAGAGAUCGGCAGGAACACCCGUGGCGCAGGCGACCACCUAGCCCGCACCUGACGCUGAGGCGCGACAGCGUGGGGAGCGAAC
RNAcentral lists this ribosomal RNA (401 nucleotides) under uncultured bacterium. RNAcentral describes it as "bacterial SSU rRNA". It matches the Rfam family "Bacterial small subunit ribosomal RNA", at positions 355 to 773 of the family's 1533-position model. The record is from RNAcentral.